RNAcentral lists this long non-coding RNA (683 nucleotides) under Gossypium barbadense (sea-island cotton). Its description in RNAcentral is "long non-coding RNA (GBAR_LNC018603)". Lineage: Eukaryota; Viridiplantae; Streptophyta; Magnoliopsida; Malvales; Malvaceae. The record is from RNAcentral.
AUUGUUUGUAACUCAUUCCUCCUACAAUUCCAUGAAACUGUAAACAAUGGGUUUCCCCUAGUUUCGGUUUAAUUUAUAUUACUUCCAGAAUCCCAUAAUUUUAUUGAAGAACUAAACCAAUUUGCUGCCUCUAACUCUUCUUCUUUUCAUCGAAAAUUAAGAGCCUAUCAAUCAUGACAAUUCAACAUCUUCAUUUCCUACAAGGGGGGUUAACUUGUCUUUGGACGUAUAGGAUCUUUUAACUUGUUUCUUCGCCGAUUCCAGGGCCUUCAAUGCUGCUGUCAUCUCAGCCAUAUAGCUAGACAUCCAUAGAGAGCCCCAACUCGUCCCGCUCUUGUUUGCUGUAAAUUUGCAUUGAAACCAGCAUCCAGCUUCACUUUAAAGUAGGUAGUAGGCGGAGGUUGCCAUCUCACCAUCUGUGCUAGUGCUAAAAUGUAAUUCUGCAACAAUAUUUUUGCUUUUGACACAAUAGAAUUUUCAGUAAAAAAAAUUACAAUUUAUAAUAACCUCAUUUCUUACCUUCCAUGUACCACAUAGUUGUAACAAAAACUUCAAGCUCAAACCCGUUGAGUCGUCAGCCCGUUUCCUCGAAUGUCUUCUAACCUCAUUUCUUACAUUUCUUGUACCACAUAGUUAUGAAACAUACAAUAUACAACUACAAUUCAACCUUUUCUUUUAUGCUA